Long non-coding RNA from Passer domesticus (house sparrow), 870 nucleotides. RefSeq lists it as uncharacterized. NCBI's taxonomy places the organism in Eukaryota, Metazoa, Chordata, Aves, Passeriformes, Passeridae. The transcript has 3 exons. The record is from RefSeq and is a predicted model, not a curated record.
UACAAAUUUCUUGUUCAAAUACAGACAGAACUUUAGUGAAGAAUACAAUAUUGGAAAAAUAGGUGGAUGGUCUCUUAUGAAUAUUUUAUUUCUGAGGUUUUCCACUGAGAGGAAAAAACCCCAACGAAAUAUGAGACACGUCACUUUAGCUUGGAACUAGAGUUAACAGUAACUCUGUUCAAGAGAAGCAGGAAAUGAGACUAAAAGGCAGAAUAAAAUGAAGCGGGGUUUUUUGUUGUUGUUGAUGGUAUAUGGGGGGGGUUUGUUUCUUUAUUUUUGGUUUUGUUUUUUUUCCCUGGAGAAAAGAUGUUAUUUGUAGGAAAAAGCUCUGAGGGGUGAAGUCAGUCAGUAUGUGCCUAGGAGCCCUUUUGCACAAACAGCCAGCCACAGAGGGUUUACAGGCACAUCUGCAGAGUGAGAGAAAGAUUCAAUAACAGCGUGGCUACCUUCAUUAGUUUUAAACUAAUUCACAUGCUAGUGCUUGGUGUAUUGCUUAAAUGUGUCUGAUUGUUCACCUGUAACAUGAUAAUAUUUUCUCCCUCAUAGGAGGGUGAAGCUGAGGGCUUAUGAGCUUCCCCAUGACAGCUCCUGCUCCAGCUGUGCUGAAGAUGUGCACACACCAAAAUGCACGUGUGCCUAUAGCCGAGGAGGGAGGACUAACUACACUGCCAAAUACUCUUUUAGAGGGAAAGAAAGCUGCAAGGCUGGGAAUUGCAAGAAAACUAGAUAUUACCAGCAUCAAAUCAUCCACAGAGCACUCUAACUAAAAGGAGAACAUUAUGGGAACUGCAUCACAUGAGUUCUAGGUUUGAAAGAGGUGCUACAGCAUCCACUGCAGAUAAUAUGACUCCUGUCCUGUGUAAAUUUCUC